RNAcentral lists this ribosomal RNA (676 nucleotides) under Rothia sp. O-11. Its description in RNAcentral is "bacterial SSU rRNA". It matches the Rfam family "Bacterial small subunit ribosomal RNA", at positions 571 to 1263 of the family's 1533-position model. The record is from RNAcentral. Lineage: Bacteria; Bacillati; Actinomycetota; Actinomycetes; Micrococcales; Micrococcaceae.
GUAGCGGUUGUCGGUCACUGGAAACCCGGGCUUAACCCGGGUUGCAGUGGUACGGCAGAUAGAGUCAGUAGGGAGACUGAAUUCAUGUGUAGCGGUGAAAUGCGCAGAUAUCAGGAGGAACACCAAUGCCGAAGGCAGGUCUCUGGGCUGUAACUGACGCUGAGAAGCGAAAGCAUGGGAGCGAACAGGAUUAGAUACCCUGGUAGUCCAUGCCGUAAACGUUGGGCACUAGGUGUGGGGAACAUUCCACGUUUUCGCGCCGUAGCUAACGCAUUAAGUGCCCCGCCUGGGGAGUACGGCCGCAAGGCUAAAACUCAAAGAAAUUGACGGGGGCCCGCACAAGCGGCGGAGCAUGCGGAUUAAUUCGAUGCAACGCGAAGAACCUCACCAAGGCUUGACAUAUACUAGACCGCCUCAGAGAUGGGGUUUCCCUUCGGGGCUGGUAUACAGGUGGUGCAUGGUUGUCGUCAGCUCGUGUCGUGAGAUGUUGGGUUAAGUCCCGCAACGAGCGCAACCCUCCUUCUAUGUUGCCAGCACGUAAUGGUGGGGACUCAUAGGAGACUGCCGGGGUUAACUCGGAGGAAGGUGGGGAUGACGUCAAAUCAUCAUGCCCCUUAUGUCUUGGGCUUCACGCAUGCUACAAUGGCCGGUACAAAGGGUUGCGAUACUGUGAGGU